CCUACGGGAGGCAGCAGUGGGGGAUAUUGCACAAUGGGGGAAACCCUGAUGCAGCGACGCCGCGUGGGUGAAGAAGCGCCUCGGCGCGUAAAGCCCUGUCAGCAGGGAAGAAAAUGACGGUACCUGAAGAAGAAGCCCCGGCUAACUACGUGCCAGCAGCCGCGGUAAUACGUAGGGGGCAAGCGUUAUCCGGAUUUACUGGGUGUAAAGGGGGCGCAGACGGCGCUGCAAGCCAGGGGUGAAAGCCCUGGGCACAACCCCGGGACCGCUCUUGGAACUGCGUGGGUAAAGUGCAGGAGGGGCAGGCGGAAUUCCUUGUGGAGCGGGGCAAUGCG
RNAcentral lists this ribosomal RNA (335 nucleotides) under uncultured bacterium. Its description in RNAcentral is "partial 16S ribosomal RNA". It matches the Rfam family "Bacterial small subunit ribosomal RNA", at positions 338 to 690 of the family's 1533-position model. The record is from RNAcentral.